Long non-coding RNA from Polypterus senegalus (gray bichir), 1525 nucleotides. RefSeq lists it as uncharacterized. The transcript is spliced from 4 exons. The record is from RefSeq and is a predicted model, not a curated record. NCBI's taxonomy places the organism in Eukaryota, Metazoa, Chordata, Cladistia, Polypteriformes, Polypteridae.
GUUUAAAAGUACGACAGAUUGCAGAUCUAUAUGGUGUAUCAGAGAAGAUGCUCACAAGGUAAAUGAGCCAGUUUGAUAUACGGUAAGCUGCAACGGCUGUAUUAGUUUAGAUACUUUGACGUGGAAUGCCUAAAGCAGCUCCAACUAAUAUUUUGAACUGAGUAUUUGACCCUUGAUUUAUGAGUAUAAAGUCAGAUGCAUAUUCGCAGCUGCUUUUUCAAAGAACUUUUCAGCUCUGAGCAGUGGAAAACAUGAUACUUUCUUAUCUACCACACGGAUCUGUGAUAUUUAGCAUGCAGGCAGUGUGAAAGGCUUUAAUCACUUUUGGCCAUCAGACGUUUAGCAGUUUUAUGAUAAUGAGCACCCUGAUUUAACACUAAUGCAACUGCAAUUUAACCAAAGUGUGCUUUUUGUCAGAAAACUUUCACAAGUUAGAUGGCCCAAUGCAAUUUAAGCAGUGUGAUCCACGUUUUACAGGUAAUUGAACUAGUUUACCCACAUUGAACUAAGCAAAAUCUAAUUUACAGAAAGGAUGUCUAAUGGUAAACGUUAUGUGGUCAAACCCUUUAAAGUGUCUGCUCUCACAGAUUAGAGCUGCAUAGUUGUGUGUGUAGCCAGUCAAAUAACUUAAGUCACAUUUAUUUUGCAGUGUUUCAGACCUUUAUUCCCAAAUCUCUCUAACAUUCAAAGAUAUCACCCAGACAUGGGAUACAAGAUGAUACAUGGGCAUCUGAAAUCACAAGGAAUACGAUUCCCAGUUGCCAGGGUGCAAAAAUCAGUGUGCAGAGUGGAUCCAGAGGGGGUUGUGAUGAGAACCUUUAGGCUGCAUACAUUAAGACGCUGUCCGUAUUCUGUUCCUGGACCUAAUUGUCUGUGGCACAUACUGUAGAUGGCAACCACAAGCUGAUCAGUGAAACAAUUUGGCUUACCAUCUAGAGUUUGAUCAGACAAGGGUGGAGAACUUGUUGGUGUAGCAGAACUCAUGGUUCAGAGAAGAGGAGUCAAUAGGAAUUUACACAUCGCAGGUAGAAGCGUACACAACCAAAGAAUUGAGAGGAUGUGGAGAGAUGUGUGAGCAUGUACUUGACCUUUUCUACUCCAUAUUUUUCACAUUGGAAAGACGGCAACUUCUUGAGCCAGACAAUGAGCUUCAUUUGUUCUCACUGCACUGGAAUUUCCUUCCAUUAAUACAAAGGAACCUUAAUUCCUUCCAGAAUGCCUGGAAGCACCACGGCCUGCAAAGUGAAGGAAACCAAACUCCUUUACAGCUGUGGAUGGGACGCUUGGCACAAGAUCUAGAUGACCCCACAGAGGUACUGAUUGUAGUUUGCAUUAUACUGAAAUUUUCUGUACAAUAACACAUUCAUGGAAUCUAACAAAAGAAUCUGGAUUCUAGGGGGGGAAUGAAAUUUGAUAUUUUUCCCAUUUCUGGGGACCACUAUAACCAGGAGAUAUUGUCAUGAUCAAUUUUCAACAAACUUCAGAAUAAAAACAAUGAGUAACCAGUUGGGAGUUUAUACUUGUG